RNAcentral lists this ribosomal RNA (253 nucleotides) under uncultured bacterium. RNAcentral's name for it is "partial 16S ribosomal RNA". It matches the Rfam family "Bacterial small subunit ribosomal RNA", at positions 524 to 776 of the family's 1533-position model. The record is from RNAcentral.
UACGUAGGUGGCAAGCGUUGUCCGGAAUUAUUGGGCGUAAAGCGCGCGCAGGCGGCUUCUUAAGUCUGAUGUGAAAUCUCGGGGCUCAACCCCGAGCGGCCAUUGGAAACUGGGAAGCUUGAGUACAGAAGAGGAGAGUGGAAUUCCACGUGUAGCGGUGAAAUGCGUAGAUAUGUGGAGGAACACCAGUGGCGAAGGCGACUCUCUGGUCUGUAACUGACGCUGAGGCACGAAAGCGUGGGGAUCAAACAGG